RNAcentral lists this ribosomal RNA (1762 nucleotides) under Rhinacloa sp. 2 KLM-2013. RNAcentral's name for it is "partial 28S ribosomal RNA". It matches the Rfam family "Eukaryotic large subunit ribosomal RNA", at positions 587 to 1783 of the family's 3401-position model. The record is from RNAcentral. Lineage: Eukaryota; Metazoa; Arthropoda; Insecta; Hemiptera; Miridae.
UCCGAAGAGAGAGAUUCACGUCUUCUCGCGGGUUCAACGCAUCGCCUCUCUUCGACGGCUCUGCUCCCGCUCGGACUUGUCCGGCGCGUGGCGGUGGGGUCGCAGAGGGUGGUGCGGAGUCUCGCGGCGGACCGCACUUCUCUCUCAGUAGGACGUCGUGACCCGAUCGACCAUGGUCUUACGGUCAUGGGGUGGAGCCUGUCCGUGGGUGCUUGCACCUUUUCGGGCAGACCCCCGUGAUCCGGCCAUGGGUCAACUCGGUCGGUAUCGAAUGACGGUGUAAGGCCGCUCAUCGGUGGAAGGAAUUCCUACCCGUGAGCGCGAUUGCGGCCCUUGACAAGGUGCCGGGAUGUAGUCAAGGCGGGCUUACGUCCGUCUGGCUGCUUUCGGUCCUGUUGGUUUUGGUGCUCUCUCGCCGGUCACUCCUCGCGGAGUUCACCUGUCUACGGCGAAUCAGUUUUGGGCUCUUGUCCGACCCGUCUUGAAACACGGACCAAGGAGUUUAGCGUGUACGCGAGUCAUUGGGUUCUAACGAAACCCAAAGGCGAAAUGAAAGUGAAGGGAACUUGACGUUUCUGAGGGAAGAUGAGUUGGUCACCCGCAAGGGGCCACUCCGCACUCCCGGGGCGUCUUUAUCUCAUUGCAAGAGGAGGCGCACCCAGAGCGCACACGCUGAUACCCGAAAGAUGGUGAACUAUGCCUGGCCAGGACGAAGCCAGGGGAAACCCUGGUGGAGGUCCGCAGCGAUUCUGACGUGCAAAUCGAUCGUCGGAGCUGGGUAUAGGGGCGAAAGACCAAUCGAACCAUCUAGUAGCUGGUUCCCUCUGAAGUUUCCCUCAGGAUAGCUUGCACUCGGGACGAGACGAGUCUCAUCCGGUAGAGCGAAUGAUUAGAGGCCUUGGGGUCGAAACGACCUCAACCUAUUCUCAAACUCCAAAUAGAUGAGAGCCCCGGCUUUCUUGAAUUUUAUUCUAUGAAGCCGGUGGAUUCUGAUCAGAGUGCCAAGUGGGCCAAUUUUGGUAAGCAGAAGUGCGCCUGUGGGANNNNNNNNNNNNNNNNNNNNNNNNNNNNNNNNNNNNNNNNNNNNNNNNNAUGAAAGGCGUUGGUUGCAUAAGACAGCAGGACGGUGGCCAUGGAAGUCGGAAUCCGCUAAGGAGUGUGUAACAACUCACCUGCCGAAGCAACUAGCCCUGAAAAUGGAUGGCGCUGUAGCGUCGUGCCUAUACUCGGCCGUCAACGGCAAAGCUGGUUGAAAUACAUUUAUUUGUGUUUUACCGUUACGCCUUGACGAGUAGGAGGGCCGCGGCGACGUGCGUAGAAGGGUCUGGGCGUGAGCCUGCCUGGAGCCGUCGUCGGUGCAGAUCUUGGUGGUAGUAGCAAAUACUCCAGCGAGGCCCUGGAGGACUGAUGUGGAGAAGGGUUUCUUGUGAACAGCUGUUGCACAAGAGUCAGUCGGUCCUAAGCCCUAGGAGAAAUCCGAAGCGAUGGGUUGCCGUUCAUUCAAAAAUAUAUAUAUAUAUAUAAAAAAUGUUGGCACCCGUUUGGGCGAAAGGGAAUCCGGUUCCUAUUCCGGAACCUGGCAGUGGAACCGUUCCAAUUCGGGCCCUCUGAGGACUCGUCGGGGCAACCUGAAUAGACCCGGAGACGCCGACAGGAGGUUGGGGGAGAGUUGUCUCUUCUCUAUAAGCGAUCGAGUUCCCUGGAAACUUCUAGCAAGGAGAUAGGGUUUGGAUCGCGAAGAGCACUGCAGUUACGGCAGUGU